AAAGUCGUAACAAGGUUUCCGUAGGUGAACCUGCGGAAGGAUCAUUACAAAACUAGUCGUUCGUGUCAGGGUAACCUGAUUACGAUGUAAGCUCACUAGUCACCCUUGAAUAAACUACCUUUGUUGCUUUGGCGGGCCGCCUGUUGGCCAGUGGCUCCCGCUGCUGCGCGCCCGCCAGAGGACCCCUAACUCUUGUUUUUAGUGGCGUCUGAGUACUAUAUAAUAGUUAAAACUUUCAACAACGGAUCUCUUGGUUCUG
RNAcentral lists this unclassified non-coding RNA (259 nucleotides) under Ascomycota sp. Its description in RNAcentral is "partial contains small subunit ribosomal RNA, internal transcribed spacer 1, and 5.8S ribosomal RNA". The stretch from base 1 to 47 matches the Rfam family "Eukaryotic small subunit ribosomal RNA", at positions 1785 to 1831 of the family's 1831-position model. Lineage: Eukaryota; Fungi; Ascomycota. The record is from RNAcentral.